ACCAUGUGACUGACGGUGAGUGGGUAACCACAAGGGAGCAUGGGGAUUUUUAGCCGACCGUCUGGGCAAUCU
This 72-nucleotide non-coding RNA is filed under the name human gut metagenome. RNAcentral describes it as "ZMP/ZTP riboswitch". It matches the Rfam family "ZMP/ZTP riboswitch aptamer (pfl RNA motif)". Rfam says of the family: Previously known as pfl RNA. ZMP is also known as AICAR. RNAcentral also lists the same sequence under 1 other name. The record is from RNAcentral.